Molecule: long non-coding RNA, 228 nt
Filed under: Elaeis guineensis (African oil palm)
Lineage: Eukaryota; Viridiplantae; Streptophyta; Magnoliopsida; Arecales; Arecaceae
Description: long non-coding RNA (EGUI_LNC035196)
Source: RNAcentral
UGAUUAAGUGUAGGGAGUUUGGAUGGGCGAGGUCCGAGCAGACAUUGCAAAUUCAAGAUGAACUCCAUAAUGCCAGAGAAGAAAUUUCAAAAUUGCAAAAGGCAUUGGAUAGCAAGAAGAUCGUCGCCACUCUCAAGAAAAUGCAACAGUGAGGUAUCCAAGUGACUGCUCCUAUCACCGACGUCAGCUCAAAAGCGUCUCUUCCAAUCACCCAUGGUGAAAGAUCUC